RNAcentral lists this ribosomal RNA (465 nucleotides) under uncultured bacterium. RNAcentral describes it as "partial 16S ribosomal RNA". It matches the Rfam family "Bacterial small subunit ribosomal RNA", at positions 28 to 507 of the family's 1533-position model. The record is from RNAcentral.
GACGAACGCUGGCGGCGUGCUUAACACAUGCAAGUCGAACGGAAAGGCCCUGCUUGCAGGGUACUCGAGUGGCGAACGGGUGAGUAACACGUGGGUGAUCUGCCCUGCACUUCGGGAUAAGCCUGGGAAACUGGGUCUAAUACCGGAUAGGAGCCAUUUUUAGUGUGAUGGUUGGAAAGUUUUUUCGGUGUAGGAUGAGCUCGCGGCCUAUCAGCUUGUUGGUGGGGUAGUGGCCUACCAAGGCGGCGACGGGUAGCCGGCCUGAGAGGGUGGACGGCCACAUUGGGACUGAGAUACGGCCCAGACGCCGACGGGAGGCAGCAGUGGGGAAUAUUGCACAAGGGGCGCAAGCCUGAUGAAGAGACGCCGCGUGGGGGAUGACGGACUUCGGGUUGUAAACUCCUUUCGCUAGGGAAGAAGCUUUUUGUGACGGUACCUAGAUAAGAAGCACCGGCUAACUACGUG